Dreissena polymorpha is the source of this 220-nucleotide long non-coding RNA. RefSeq lists it as uncharacterized. The transcript is spliced from 2 exons. The record is from RefSeq and is a predicted model, not a curated record. NCBI's taxonomy places the organism in Eukaryota, Metazoa, Mollusca, Bivalvia, Myida, Dreissenidae.
UAUGCCCCCCUUCGAAGAAGAGGGGGUAUAUUGCUUUGCUCAUGUCGGUCGGUCGGUCGGUCUGUCUGUCGGUCGGUCCGUCCACCAGGUGGUUGUCAGACGAUAACUCAAGAAUGCUUGGGCCUAGGAUCAUGAAACUUCAUAGGUACAUUGACCAUGACUCGCAGAUGACCCCUAUUGAUUUUGAGGUCACUAGGUCAAAGGUCAAGGUCACGGUGAC